GUGCUCACUUUUGUAGCACAUAUACUAAAAGUGGAACAAUACAGGGAAGAUUAGUAUGGCCCCUGUGUGAAAAUGACAUGCAAAUUUAUGAAGUGUUCCAUAUUUCU
Monodelphis domestica (gray short-tailed opossum) is the source of this 107-nucleotide small nuclear RNA. NCBI's taxonomy places the organism in Eukaryota, Metazoa, Chordata, Mammalia, Didelphimorphia, Didelphidae. The record is from Ensembl.